This 373-nucleotide ribosomal RNA is filed under the name uncultured prokaryote. Its description in RNAcentral is "bacterial SSU rRNA". It matches the Rfam family "Bacterial small subunit ribosomal RNA", at positions 524 to 896 of the family's 1533-position model. The record is from RNAcentral.
UACGUAGGGGGCAAGCGUUGUCCGGAAUUAUUGGGCGUAAAGCGCGCGCAGGCGGUCAUGUAAGUCUGAUGUAUAAGCCCGAGGCUCAACUUCGGGAGGCAUUGGAAACUGGAUGACUUGAGUACAGGAGAGGAAAGUGGAAUUCCACGUGUAGCGGUGAAAUGCGUAGAUAUGUGGAGGAACACCAGUGGCGAAGGCGACUUUCUGGCCUGAAACUGACGCUGAGGCGCGAAAGCGUGGGGAGCAAACAGGAUUAGAUACCCUGGUAGUCCACGCUGUAAACGAUGAAUGCUAGGUGUUAGGGGCUUCCAAGCCCUUGGUGCCGAAGUUAACACAGUAAGCAUUCCGCCUGGGGAGUACGCUCGCAAGAGUG